ACUGGGACUGAGACACGGCCCAGACUCCUACGGGAGGCAGCAGUGGGGAAUUUUCCGCAAUGGGCGCAAGCCUGACGGAGCAAUACCGCGUGAGGGAGGAAGGCCUUUGGGUUGUAAACCUCUUUUCUUAAGGAAGAAGAUCUGACGGUACUUAAGGAAUCAGCAUCGGCUAACUCCGUGCCAGCCGCCGCGGUAAUACGGAGGAUGCAAGCGUUAUCCGGAAUUAUUGGGCGUAAAGCGUCCGCAGGCGACACUAUAAGUCUGCUGUCAAAGACCGCAGCUCAACUGCGGAAAGGCAGUGGAAACUGUAGAGCUAGAGUACGGUAGGGGUAGAGGGAAUUCCCAGUGUAGCGGUGAAAUGCGUAGAGAUAGGGAAGAACACCAGUGGCGAAAGCGCUCUACUGGGCCGUAACUGACGCUCAGGGACGAAAGCUAGGGGAGCGAAAGGGAUUAGAUACCCCUGUAGUCCUAGCUGUAAACGAUGGAUACUAGGCGUAGCUUGUAUCGACCCGAGCUGUGCCGAAGCUAACGCGUUAAGUAUCCCGCCUGGGGAGUACGCACGCAAGUGUGAAACUCAAAGGAAUUGACGGGGGCCCGCACAAGCGGUGGAGUAUGUGGUUUAAUUCGAUGCAACGCGCAGAACCUUACCAGGGCUU
Molecule: ribosomal RNA, 656 nt
Filed under: uncultured cyanobacterium
Lineage: Bacteria; Bacillati; Cyanobacteriota
Description: bacterial SSU rRNA
Rfam family: Bacterial small subunit ribosomal RNA
Source: RNAcentral